RNAcentral lists this ribosomal RNA (429 nucleotides) under Chloroflexota bacterium. RNAcentral's name for it is "Chloroflexi bacterium partial 16S ribosomal RNA". It matches the Rfam family "Bacterial small subunit ribosomal RNA", at positions 355 to 776 of the family's 1533-position model. The record is from RNAcentral. Lineage: Bacteria; Bacillati; Chloroflexota.
UGGGGAAUAUUGCACAAUGGGCGCAAGCCUGAUGCAGCCAUGCCGCGUGUAUGAAGAAGGCCUUCGGGUUGUAAAGUACUUUCAGUCGGGAGGAAGGUGGUAAGGUUAAUAACCUUAUCAAUUGACGUUACCGACAGAAGAAGCACCGGCUAACUCCGUGCCAGCAGCCACGGUAAUACGGAGGGUGCAAGCGUUAAUCGGAAUUACUGGGCGUAAAGCGCACGCAGGCGGUUGAUUGAGUCAGAUGUGAAAUCCCCGGGCUUAACCCGGGAAUUGCAUCUGAUACUGGUCAGCUAGAGUCUUGUAGAGGGGGGUAGAAUUCCAUGUGUAGCGGUGAAAUGCGUAGAGAUGUGGAGGAAUACCGGUGGCGAAGGCGGCCCCCUGGACAAAGACUGACGCUCAGGUGCGAAAGCGUGGGGAGCAAACAGG